CUUUCUGCUCUGGGGGAACCAAGUGCUCCAGCGUUCCCAGCGCCAUUGCAGGCCUAGGUCUGACUUGUAGCUCACUGCUUUCGCAACUGGCCGUUUGCAGUUAACAGUAUAUCUUGGAAAUCAUUCCAUAUCCGUUCUUAAGGUACCUCUUAAUUGCUAUUCAUGGCUAUCUAGUAUUCCAUUGUAUGGCUAUUUCAUAAUUUGUUUACAUUUUUCACAGGUGCAAAUGUAUUUGGGGAGCUGAUUUUAGGGAUCUCUCUUUAACACCAAAAGUUUUCACAGAUCCCCAUGAAGAAGACUUGAUAUUACCAAAGACGUCCUGAAUUCAGGAAUAGUUUAAGGCCGCCAGGCUUCUCUGUCCAUGGAAUUCUCCAGGCAGGAAUACUGGAGUGGAUAGCUAUUCCCUUCUCCAGAGGAUCUUCCAGACCAAGGGAUUGGACCUGCGUCUCCUGUGUCUCCUGCAUUGAAUCAACAUUCUUCCUUCAAAGUCCCUCUCAACACCUCUUUCCAUGGGUCGUCAAGCUGACCAUUUCCUCAGUCAUCUGAGCGCCAACCUAGGGCUUCAUGGAUUCCCCCUGCAGCUUCUUCAUCUCUAACCGGAGGAUGUUUUCUUUCAGCUGCAUCUUGCCAUCUGUCCCUUGCCCUCCAUUCUCUGAGGAUCUCUUUGUGAUCAUCCUCCCUGGAUUCCUUCUUGAGGACCAGCCUCUUGGGCUUUGAGGCCCCUCUUUCUGCACCAGCUUCAUCAAGGUUGACUCACUGCCAUCUGCAUAUUUAAACAAAACUGCUGCCCCCCACCCCAGCCCCGCAGACAGUCAUGUUGUAAGCUUGGGACUUUCUCCCUGCUCAUCCAAACCUUACCUGUACUUUUAGGUGCACUGUGCAGGAAGCCUUGUUAGAAGAGUCCAGCCCUCUCCCUCUCUUAGUCCUGGAGCAUUGUCAGGAAUCUCAUACCCCUGAACAGACUACAAGCUGCUGGAGGGCAGGCUUCAGUCAGAAUGUUCCUGCUGCCUUGGCGCAGGGCCAGCACACAUCAGAUGCUCAGUUAAUGUCUGUGGAGUCAGUGCACGGUGGCAUUCCCAAAGACUUACCUCCAGCUGCACCUCUCCCGCUCACUUGCCAUAACCCUCCCUGCACAACCUCCAGCUCCCACCAACCAGGGGCAAGAGGGAAAACAAAACAGGUGUAAAAAAAAAAAAAAAAAAAGGCGGAGCGCACUGAAAUAUAAGAAGCCACUUCUAGGAUCG
Long non-coding RNA from Bos taurus (domestic cattle), 1244 nucleotides. The record is from Ensembl. Lineage: Eukaryota; Metazoa; Chordata; Mammalia; Artiodactyla; Bovidae.